GACGAACGCUGGCGGCGUGCUUAGCACAUGCAAGUCGAGCGGUAAGGCCCUUUCGGGGGUACACGAGCGGCGAACGGGUGAGUAACACGUGGGUGACCUGCCCUCAGCUCUGGGAUAAGCCUGGGAAACCGGGUCUAAUACCGGAUAUGACUCCAUGACGCAUGUUGUGGGGUGGAAAGCCUUGUGCGGCUGAGGAUGGGCCCGCGGCCUAUCAGCUUGUUGGUGGGGNGAUGGCCUACCAAGGCGACGACGGGUAGCCGGCCUGAGAGGGCGACCGGCCACACUGGGACUGAGACACGGCCCAGACUCCUACGGGAGGCAGCAGUGGGGAAUCUUGCGCAAUGGGCGAAAGCCUGACGCAGCGACGCCGCGUGAGGGAUGACGGCCU
RNAcentral lists this ribosomal RNA (388 nucleotides) under uncultured bacterium. Its description in RNAcentral is "bacterial SSU rRNA". It matches the Rfam family "Bacterial small subunit ribosomal RNA", at positions 28 to 417 of the family's 1533-position model. The record is from RNAcentral.